UACGGGGGGGGCAAGCGUUGUUCGGAAUUACUGGGCGUAAAGGGCUCGUAGGCGGCCAACUAAGUCAUACGUGAAAUCCCUCGGCUUAACCGGGGAACUGCGUCUGAUACUGGAUGGCUUGAGUUCGGGAGAGGGAUGCGGAAUUCCAGGUGUAGCGGUGAAAUGCGUAGAUAUCUGGAGGACCACCGGUGGCGAAGGCGGCAUCCUGGACCGAUACUGACGCUGAGGAGCGAAAGCCAGGGGAGCAAACGGG
Molecule: ribosomal RNA, 253 nt
Filed under: uncultured bacterium
Lineage: Bacteria
Description: partial 16S ribosomal RNA
Rfam family: Bacterial small subunit ribosomal RNA
Source: RNAcentral